GCUGCCGGGAGCUGUGAGGAGAGCCGGGCGAGCUCGGGAUCCGCGCCAUGGAUGCAGUGACCUAUGAGGACGUGCAUGUCAACUUCACUCAUGAAGAGUGGGCUUUGCUGGACCCUUUCCAGAAGAGUCUCUACAAAGAUGUGAUGCUGGAAACCUAUUGGAACCUCACUACUAUAGGUAUUUCAUCUGUCACUCAGGAUACAAGCCAUUUGAUCAUAAGGGAUGUGGAAAGAAACAGGGUACCCCUCUCUCUCCUACAGCAAUGAGAAGAUACAUAGCAUUCCCUGCUAUGAGUAGACUUCAUGAAUGUGAUAGGAGUUUACAAGUAAUUGGUGUUCCAACUACAGUUGGAAUACAUCAACCAAUUCAUACUGAAGAAAAGCCUUAUGAGUACAGGGAAUGUGGGAAUUCUUCUGUUUUUCCUGGUUCACUUUGCACGUGUAGUGUGACUCACACUGUAAGAAAAUGUUCCGAAUGCACUCAGGGUGGUAAAGCUCUGAGUUCUUCCAGUUCUGUUCAAAGAUGUGAAAAAACUCACAUGGGAAAAGGAAAUGAGAAACAUGAGCCUUUUACUAAAGGCUUUAACUCUCACAGAUAUCUUCACAUUUACAGAGGAAGCAAUACUGAAGAGGAUCCCUGUGAAUAUAAUCAGUGGGAUAAAGCCCUUGGAUCUGAUUCCUCUUUACAAUUACACAAAAAUUUCACUCAUUUGGAAGUAAAA
Molecule: long non-coding RNA, 721 nt
Organism: Acomys russatus (golden spiny mouse)
Lineage: Eukaryota; Metazoa; Chordata; Mammalia; Rodentia; Muridae
Exons: 3
Source: RefSeq, a predicted model, not a curated record